AUUUAGAUAUACUUCCCCAAUCGUGAUACUUCCCUUGUUUACAAUUGCGCUCUUUAAAUGCACACAGAGUAAGACUUCAGUGCCCUAACAUCUUACUUUGAAGUUCGAGAUAGAAUAUGAAUGUCACGACCGACAGAUGUAUUUUCGGGUUUGAAACUGCAGAGACUGAAGAGAAGCAGGAGAGUUGUGUGUUUUUAUCUGUAACUGUUCCCCCUUGUAAUGAAGACAGAUACAAUGUUGAGUCUGGAGUGGAUAAUUUAUUGUUUGAGGUGGACUUCAACAAUCAGAAAGUUGAAAAAGCCACCGAGCAACCAUUAGAUAGCUUUUUACAUGUAGAAUGUUCUGUUGAAAUGGUUGUCGACAAUAACAAUUAUAUGAGUGCAAAAUAUGUUACAACAAAUAUAGGACAAAAACUGGCUAUACAAGAUAUUUAGUAAGCCACAUAUUUGGAAGAUAUUUGUUUUAGCUUGUAAAAACAUUUUUUGCAUUAAAAUUAAAGGUUUGUUGUAGAUACUAAAAAACAUAAUUAUAAUUUUUUUUGCGUAUUAAUAUUGUCUAUAGAUUUUGUUGAAGUCUGUCAAGGCCAAUGUUACUGAAACUAUAUAUUUAAUUAAUUUCAGAAAAUAUUUGAAACAAAGAUUUAAUUUGAUUAAAAAAAAAGAGUUUCACUACGUGGCAAAAGUCUAUGAUUUGAGGUAAAGUUUAACUUUAUGAAAUUUGACUUGUACAAAAAAUGUUGAAAUUUUGUAGUUAUACGUUUAAAACGUGUCUGUCUAUUACUUUAAAAGACACAUUCUUGAAGUGUUUGUAAAGUAAUGAACUUUUGGUAUAAACCAUGCAAGCAUGAA
Dreissena polymorpha is the source of this 848-nucleotide long non-coding RNA. RefSeq lists it as uncharacterized. The transcript is spliced from 3 exons. The record is from RefSeq and is a predicted model, not a curated record. Lineage: Eukaryota; Metazoa; Mollusca; Bivalvia; Myida; Dreissenidae.